AGUUGAAGUUGGCGAUGGAGCCCGGCUCCCGUAGGAGUCCGGGCGGAGUCCUCCUGCAAUUGAAGUUAGGUGCGAAGUCCGGCUCCCGUGGGAGUCCGGACGGAUCUUACCGGCGGUUGAUGUUGAUUAUGGAGCCCGGCUCCCGUAGGAGUUCGGGCGGAGUCUACUUGUGGUUGAAGUUGUCGGCGGAGUCCGGCUCCCGUAGGAGUCCGGACGAAGUCUGUCUGCAGCCGUUGG
RNAcentral lists this long non-coding RNA (237 nucleotides) under Elaeis guineensis (African oil palm). RNAcentral describes it as "long non-coding RNA (EGUI_LNC029324)". The record is from RNAcentral. Lineage: Eukaryota; Viridiplantae; Streptophyta; Magnoliopsida; Arecales; Arecaceae.